RNAcentral lists this ribosomal RNA (668 nucleotides) under Escherichia coli. Its description in RNAcentral is "partial 16S ribosomal RNA". It matches the Rfam family "Bacterial small subunit ribosomal RNA", at positions 877 to 1533 of the family's 1533-position model. Lineage: Bacteria; Pseudomonadati; Pseudomonadota; Gammaproteobacteria; Enterobacterales; Enterobacteriaceae. The record is from RNAcentral. RNAcentral also lists the same sequence under 1 other name.
GGAGUACGGCCGCAAGGUUAAAACUCAAAUGAAUUGACGGGGGCCCGCACAAGCGGUGGAGCAUGUGGUUUAAUUCGAUGCAACGCGAAGAACCUUACCUGGUCUUGACAUCCACAGAACUUUCCAGAGAUGGAUUGGUGCCUUCGGGAACUGUGAGACAGGUGCUGCAUGGCUGUCGUCAGCUCGUGUUGUGAAAUGUUGGGUUAAGUCCCGCAACGAGCGCAACCCUUAUCCUUUGUUGCCAGCGGUCCGGCCGGGAACUCAAAGGAGACUGCCAGUGAUAAACUGGAGGAAGGUGGGGAUGACGUCAAGUCAUCAUGGCCCUUACGACCAGGGCUACACACGUGCUACAAUGGCGCAUACAAAGAGAAGCGACCUCGCGAGAGCAAGCGGACCUCAUAAAGUGCGUCGUAGUCCGGAUUGGAGUCUGCAACUCGACUCCAUGAAGUCGGAAUCGCUAGUAAUCGUGGAUCAGAAUGCCACGGUGAAUACGUUCCCGGGCCUUGUACACACCGCCCGUCACACCAUGGGAGUGGGUUGCAAAAGAAGUAGGUAGCUUAACCUUCGGGAGGGCGCUUACCACUUUGUGAUUCAUGACUGGGGUGAAGUCGUAACAAGGUAACCGUAGGGGAACCUGCGGUUGGAUCACCUCCUUACCUUAAAGAAGC